CACUAAAAUGGAAAAACAACGAAACAUGGGUUACCAUUCCUCCAUACUUGUCCUGCUCCUCUUCCUGUCUGCCGCCUUAUCAUCGUCGGUGGCGGACAUGUCCAUCCUAACUUACGAUGAAAACCAUCACAUUCACAUGAACAGCCAGUGAACAAACUGGCGUACUGAUGCUGAAGUGUUGGCUUUGUACGAGUCGUGGCUAGUCCGGCACGGCAAGUCCUACAACGCUUUAGAUGAAAAAGAUAAGCGUUUUCAGAUCUUUAAGGAUAACUUAAAAUACAUCGAUGAACAAAAUGCUAUGCCCGAUCGGACUUACAAGCUGGGUAUAACCCGGUUCGCUGAUCUGACAAACGAGGAGUACCGGUCCAUGUACCUAGGUACUAAGAUCGAUGGUCCACGUAAGUUGUCUAAGAACCAAAAGUGACCGUUAUGCUCCUAAGGCCGGAGAUAGCUUGCCGGAGUCAGUUGAUUGGAGAGAGAAAGGUGUUCUUGUUGGUGUUAAGGAUCAAGGACAGUGUGGUGAGCUUUUGCAUUCUUUUUCAUUUCAGGAGUUUAACUUUUUUAUAAU
Molecule: long non-coding RNA, 568 nt
Filed under: Nicotiana tabacum (common tobacco)
Lineage: Eukaryota; Viridiplantae; Streptophyta; Magnoliopsida; Solanales; Solanaceae
Description: long non-coding RNA (NTAB_LNC017737)
Source: RNAcentral